Molecule: long non-coding RNA, 2013 nt
Organism: Acanthochromis polyacanthus (spiny chromis)
Lineage: Eukaryota; Metazoa; Chordata; Actinopteri; Pomacentridae
Exons: 5
Source: RefSeq, a predicted model, not a curated record
UCACCUCAUUUGAAAAUCUUAACCUGCAUUUUCUCUGAAUAUUCAAAUAUAUAUAUAAAAAAUUAUAUAACUGAAAGAGUCUUUUCUUUUCACUUGUUUUCCUCCAUCAUAACACCAUGUUCUAACUGAGCUCAAGCGAGUGUCAGCGAUAAAAUCAAUUUGAUUGCUUUAUUUUAUAGUUGAGUGUCCAACUGUCCAUGCCAUGCAGCACAUACCUUUUACCUAAGAGCAUACUCCUCAUCCGACCCCAGCUGAAGACACCAGGGAGCUGAAAGCUGUCAUGAUGCUCAAUAGUUUUCUGUUAAAAAUGUAGGCUACAAAUGAGAGAUGGAUUCAGUGUGAAUAGAGCAUGUGAUGUAAGAUAAUGCAACAGUCGGAUGCGUCAUUCAGUUAGGACACAAUGUACGCAGCAUUAGUUGGAACUGCAGUCUAAUUACUGUUUUAGGAAUCGUAAUCCCUUUCUUUAAUUGUUACUUGAAAAAAGUAAUCAUAUUACUGUUAUGCGUUAGUGUCCAUCAGUGAUUGAGAGACAUGACUGAGUCCCUCUUCCUUGCUAAUCUGAGCUCUUUCUGUCCAACAGGACAUGCUGAGACAGCAGUUGAUGGAGGGACUGCUGAACAAACUGCAAUCUGUCAUAAACCAGCAACCACUCAAUUUGGAUUAUUUACAGUUCGUGACUCGCCAUGAACUGAUUUUGUUUGACUCGUUUUCUGAGCAGAUAGGCGGUGUAUCAGAAAUUACAGAUGCUUUAAAAAAUCUCCAUGAUGCUGUCCAGUUGGAAAUAGAUGUUAGCUAUACACCCAUUCUGGAACAAGAAGUACAAGUUGGUCUAAGAGCUGGUCAACCUAAAAUUGUAGUAGAGCAAGAAAAACUUAAGUAUCUUCUGGACACACAUCUGCCAGUCUCCUGCAUUGCAAAAUGCCUUGGUGUUUCAAGAAGAACGCUCUACAGAAGAAUGCAGGAAUUUGGUUUCUCUGUAAGAGGAUCAUACAGCACAAUGACUGAUGAGGAACUUGACACCAUAAUUUCAGGUAUUAAAAGUCAGAUGCCAAAUUCUGGAUAUCGAAUAGUUCAAGGACAUUUGGCUUCAAUGGGUCACCGCAUUCAGUGGUCAAGAAUGAUGGCCUCCAUGCAUCGUGUUGAUGCUGCAGGGAUCUUUUCACGGAUGAAAGAACUUGGAUGCAUUGUGCGAAGAAGUUAUAGUGUGCGAGGUCCUCUCUCUUUGGUCCACAUCGACACUAAUCACAAACUCAUACGGUAGAGUAAAAUAGCCUGUUAAUUCAAUUAUCUACAUAUUGAAUGUUCAGAGUAGGUGGCAUGUCCUGCAUAUCUUAAAAACAGUCAUAGUUAUAUUGUAUUUUUUCCAACUUGAACAGGUACAAUGUUGUAAUCUUCGGUGGAGUCGAUGGUUACUCAAGAAAGAUCAUGUACUUGGAUGCUGCAACAAAUAACAAAGCAGCAACUGCGUUCUCAUUCUUCAUGAGAUCAACAGAGCUCCAUGGCUUACCAUCCAGGGUAAGAGGGGGUCAGGGAGUCGAAAACCUGGACAUUGCACGCUACAUGUUUGCCACACGGGAAACAGGAAGAGCAAGCUUCAUCUCUGGAAAGAGUGUACACAAUCAGAGAAUAGAGUGACUUUGGCGUGACGUCUGGUUUGCAGUCACAAGCAAAUACCAUGAGGUCCUUCACUCACUGGAGGAAGACGGUCUACUUGAUAUCUCUGAUGUGGUACACAUAUUCGGUGUGCACUACAUCUUUGUCCCAAGACUCCGAGCCGACCUCAGCACCUUCAGUGGAGGAUGGAAUAAUCAUCCUCUACGGACAGAGGGAGGUGUCACUCCAGAACAGCUGUGGUGUAUGGGACACAUACAAAAUCUUGACGAAGGAGAGAGACUUGAGGAACUUCAAGACCCAGGCAUCGACUGGGAGAGUGCUGUAAUGCAACAGGAUUCUGCUGGAGCAGUUGUGGUCCCCGAAAUUGCAUGCCCACUAGAUGACGAAGCUCUGGAGGAA